RNAcentral lists this ribosomal RNA (520 nucleotides) under uncultured bacterium. RNAcentral describes it as "partial 16S ribosomal RNA". It matches the Rfam family "Bacterial small subunit ribosomal RNA", at positions 28 to 523 of the family's 1533-position model. The record is from RNAcentral.
GACGAACGCUGGCGGCGUGCUUAACACAUGCAAGUCGAACGGAGAAUUUUACUUCGGUGAAAUUCUUAGUGGCGAACGGGUGAGUAACGCGUAGACAACCUGCCUCUUAGAUGGGGACAACAUCGCGAAAGCGGUGCUAAUACCGAAUGAAGUGGAGCUUCCGCAUGGAAGCAUCACCAAAGUUGGCCUCUAUUUAUAAGCUACCACUGAGAGAUGGUUCUGCGUCUGAUUAGCUAGUUGGCGGGGUAAUGGCCCACCAAGGCGACGAUCAGUAGCCGGUCUGAGAGGAUGAACGGCCACAUUGGGACUGAGACACGGCCCAAACUCCUACGGGAGGCAGCAGUGGGGAAUCUUCCGCAAUGGACGAAAGUCUGACGGAGCAACGCCGCGUGAGUGAAGAAGGUUUUCGGAUCGUAAAGCUCUGUUGUUUGAGACGAAUGUGCAGACUUUGAAUAAGGGUUUGUAAUGACGGUAUUAAACGAGAAAGCCACGGCUAACUACGUGCCAGCCGCCGCCGUAA